RNAcentral lists this transfer RNA (64 nucleotides) under Polyascus gregaria. Its description in RNAcentral is "tRNA-Leu". Lineage: Eukaryota; Metazoa; Arthropoda; Thecostraca; Sacculinidae. The record is from RNAcentral.
UUUGAAAUGGCAGAAUUUAUGCGUUAGAUUUAAAGUCUUAUUAUGAAGUUUAUUUCUUUCAAAU